Molecule: ribosomal RNA, 478 nt
Filed under: Streptococcus mitis
Lineage: Bacteria; Bacillati; Bacillota; Bacilli; Lactobacillales; Streptococcaceae
Description: bacterial SSU rRNA
Rfam family: Bacterial small subunit ribosomal RNA
Source: RNAcentral
GACGAACGCUGGCGGCGUGCCUAAUACAUGCAAGUAGAACGCUGAAGGAGGAGCUUGCUUCUCUGGAUGAGUUGCGAACGGGUGAGUAACGCGUAGGUAACCUGCCUGGUAGCGGGGGAUAACUAUUGGAAACGAUAGCUAAUACCGCAUAAGAGUAGAUGUUGCAUGACAUUUGCUUAAAAGGUGCAAUUGCAUCACUACCAGAUGGACCUGCGUUGUAUUGGCUAGUUGGUGGGGUAACGGCUCACCAAGGCGACGAUACAUAGCCGACCUGAGAGGGUGAUCGGCCACACUGGGACUGAGACACGGCCCAGACUCCUACGGGAGGCAGCAGUAGGGAAUCUUCGGCAAUGGACGGAAGUCUGACCGAGCAUCGCCGCGUGAGUGAAGAAGGUUUUCGGAUCGUAAAGCUCUGUUGUAAGAGAAGAACGAGUGUGAGAGUGGAAAGUUCACACUGAUGACGGUAUCUUACCAGAAA